RNAcentral lists this long non-coding RNA (1052 nucleotides) under Anas platyrhynchos platyrhynchos (common mallard). Its description in RNAcentral is "lncRNA (ENSAPLG00000024826.1)". The record is from RNAcentral. Lineage: Eukaryota; Metazoa; Chordata; Aves; Anseriformes; Anatidae.
UAAAACAUCAAGAUUAUUAAUGAGUUUCUUACCUUAUUAAGAUUUUGACAUAUGCCUCAUUUAGGUAGUUAUGUCUGUUUAAGACAAACAAACAAAAAAAACCCACACCAUGCCAUGAUAUAAGUUUGUGUAUUUUUUUGUUGUAUAAUGUGGUGGUUUCACACUGAUAAUCAUCUAAGCUCCAUCUGGAUCUCACCCUAUACGGGCUUCCAACAGGCAGCAGCUCUUCAAGAACUGCUCCGUACUAUGGGGUCCGUCUGUCAGGAGCAAACUCCUCCAGGACAGGUCCCCUACAUCCCCACAUGUGGGCGUCAGCUCCUCCCAGACCCCCUGCUCCUGCAUGGACUCCUCUCCACGGGCUGCAGCUCUGGCCCAGGGGCUCUCCAUGGGCUGCAGCUGCUUCCAGGCCACAUCCACCUGCUCCACCAGGGGCUCCUCCAUGGGCUACAGUGUGGAGAUCUGCUCUGUGUGGGACCCAUGAACUGCAGGUGGACAGCCUGGUCCAUGAUGGGCCUCUCUACAGGCCACAGGGGAAUUUCUGCUCUGACAUCUGGAUCACCUCCUGCCCUCCUUCUGCACUGGCCUUGGUGUCUUCAGGGCUGUUUCUUGCCCCUUGCUCUCCCAGCUGCUGUUGCACUACACUUUUUUUUUUUUUUCCCCUUUCUUAAAUCUGCUCUCACAACCAGCGUCGCUCACUGGUUCGACUUUGGCCAGCAGCAGGUCCCUUUGGAGCCAGCUGAAAUUGGCCCUUAUCUAACAUGGGGCAGCUGCUGGGCUCUUCUCACAGAGGCCACCCCUGCACCUCCCCCACCCCCCACUACCAAAACCUUCCCAUGCAAACCCAAUGUGUAUAUUAUAUAUAACCAGUGAACCCUAGAAAAAAAAGGUUUUGCUAUCAGUAUUCCUCCUCAGCAAUGGGAACUGUUACUAGGUGGUGGGUAGAUGUCAGUGCUGUCAGCUGUAUAAUGAGCAAGAAUGCCUUGAUGAUCCUUAUAGGUCCCUUCCAACUCAGGAUAUUCUAUUAUUCUAUGACACAAGGAUGCUCCAGCAAU